CUGGAACGGUGGCUAAUACCGGAUGUGCCGCAAGGUAAAAGGCUUGCUGCCUGAAGAUGAGCUCGCGUCUGAUUAGCUAGUAGGUGGGGUAAGAGCCUACCUAGGCGACGAUCAGUAGCUGGUCUGAGAGGACGAUCAGCCACACUGGGACUGAGACACGGCCCAGACUCCUACGGGAGGCAGCAGUGGGGAAUUUUCUGCAAUG
Molecule: ribosomal RNA, 205 nt
Filed under: cyanobiont ZPS 38C of Zamia portoricensis
Lineage: Bacteria; Bacillati; Cyanobacteriota
Description: partial 16S ribosomal RNA
Rfam family: Bacterial small subunit ribosomal RNA
Source: RNAcentral